CUUCCCCAGUCUCUUCCCCAGGCUCUUCCCCAGUCUCUUCCCCAGUCUCAGCCUCAUCCCCUGGUUCCCCCGAUACUUCCCCAGAUGGCAUCUCCCCCUAUGAGGACAUGGAGGGGUCGGGUGGCCAUACCCAGGAGGGCUCAACAGAUGAUACCCGGCCCACCCCAGCCUUAGAUAGCCAACCAGGUGUGGUCACGGACGAGACAGAGAUUGGAGGGGCGGAGAGCGUCACACACACCCCAUCUCACACACACUACACUUACACCAAAGACACACAAACUCCCUCUCAGACCGAGGUAGGAGACUUUGAGGGGUCUACGUCGACAGAAGAGGAAGGCUCGGCCCAGGAGGUGUACCCACCUGAAGACCCCAGAAUCACCAGCCCUGGCAGCCCUGGAGCCAUUGAGGCUCCCCUGGUGGGGCCUGGGGUGGAGGGACAGGUGACAGUUACACCCGAACCGGGAGCCAGACCAGGAGCCAGACCAGGAGCCAGACCAGCCCAGGCAGGAGGGACUGUAGGAGACCACACUGCACAUCACAUAGACUCUUCUACACAGCACACAGACUACCCCCUCCAGCCUACCAUGCAGGAUAAAGACCUCUGGACUCAUACUGAGGAUCAGACCAGAUACCCACCUACACAUGGGAAGGACCAAACCACCCAGCAUGCCUCACACCAUAGGGAUCACUCCACAUACACUAAGGAUCAUACCAAAUACCCCACUACACAAACCACCCAGCAUCCAACACACGAUGGAGAUCACUCCACACACACUAAAGAGCAAACCAAACAACCUUCUCACCCUAGAUUCCCCACCACCCACCACCAGGAGCAAACCAGCCUCUCUACCACAGAUCAGAAGACCACACAGCACCUGAACCUGACAUACACACACCCUGCUCACCCCUCCACUCCACCUCCCACCCACUCCUCCACUCCACCUUCUGCACAUCCCUCCACUCCACCUCCCACCCACUCCUCCACUCCACCUUCUGCACAUCCCUCCACUCCACCUCCCACCCACUCCUCCACUGCACCUUCUGCACAUCCCUCCACUCUACCUCCCACCCACUCCUCCACUCCACCUUCUGCACAUCCCUCCACUCUACCUCCCACCCACUUCUCCACUCCACCUUCUGCACAUCCCUCCACUCUACCUCCCACCCACUCCUCCACUCCACCUCCUGCACACCCCUCCACUUCAUUUCCCACCCACCCCUCCACUCCACCUCCUGCCCGGCCCUCCCGCCCCAUCCCUGACUGGGCCCUGACCACCCAGACCCUCCUGCCUGACGGGGAGGAGUUUGUGGAUUAUGACCGUGUGAAUGGUUCUCCUC
RNAcentral lists this long non-coding RNA (1338 nucleotides) under Salmo salar (Atlantic salmon). Its description in RNAcentral is "lncRNA (ENSSSAG00000101997.1)". The record is from RNAcentral. Lineage: Eukaryota; Metazoa; Chordata; Actinopteri; Salmoniformes; Salmonidae.